ACACUCUCGUCACCUCAAGCUGCUACCCAAACAUUGUCUAUGAAGGACAUGUCGUCUUACAGGGCACGGUUCGAGAUUACACAGCCAAUUGCACAACUUCCUGCCCUGCAAAAGGUCUGUUUGAUGGAAAAGGGGAGUCCUGCUUGACUGAAGUCCCUCCUUUCAUGAUUGCUGUUGUGGUUAUCCUGACAGUCCUGCUGCUGGCAGGCCUCACGGUGUGCCUCGUGCGCUCUAGAAGAAACAAUGGUGUGCCCGUGAUGCAAGACUCCGCACUGCAGAGGAAAGUCCGAAUACCAGCUGAUGUGGAGACGGGAAAUCCAGAGAGCAGCGUGUAAAAGUUUCUCUGCACAUGCUGGAUUCAAACUUUGUGUUGAUGCCUCUGCAGUAUUUUAUUAACGAUAUGCGUCCGUUAUAUAUCUUUGUUUUUCUGUGUUUUUGUCAGGCAGUUACAGAAACUCAGCAAAGAGUUUCCACUCAGGACCCCCAGUAUAAUAAAUACGCUUUAAUGAUAAA
Neolamprologus brichardi is the source of this 513-nucleotide non-coding RNA. The record is from RefSeq and is a predicted model, not a curated record. Lineage: Eukaryota; Metazoa; Chordata; Actinopteri; Cichliformes; Cichlidae.